RNAcentral lists this ribosomal RNA (447 nucleotides) under uncultured bacterium. Its description in RNAcentral is "partial 16S ribosomal RNA". It matches the Rfam family "Bacterial small subunit ribosomal RNA", at positions 330 to 792 of the family's 1533-position model. The record is from RNAcentral.
UCCAGACUCCUACGGGAGGCAGCAGUGGGGAAUAUUGGGCAAUGGGCGCAAGCCUGACCCAGCAACGCCGCGUGAAGGAAGAAGGCUUUCGGGUUGUAAACUUCUUUUAAGAGGGAAGAGUAGAAGACGGUACCUCUUGAAUAAGCCACGGCUAACUACGUGCCAGCAGCCGCGGUAAUACGUAGGUGGCAAGCGUUGUCCGGAUUUACUGGGUGUAAAGGGCGUGUAGCCGGGUUGACAAGUCAGAUGUGAAAUCCUGCGGCUUAACCGCGGGACUGCAUUGGGAACUACCGGGCUGGAGUGCCGGAGAGGUAGGCGGAAUUCCUAGUGUAGCGGUGAAAUGCGUAGAUAUUAGGAGGAACACCAGUGGCGAAGGCGGCCUACUGGACGGUGACUGACGCUGAGGCUCGAAAGCGUGGGGAGCAAACAGGAUUAGAUACCCUCGUA